Molecule: long non-coding RNA, 1186 nt
Organism: Lethenteron reissneri (Far Eastern brook lamprey)
Lineage: Eukaryota; Metazoa; Chordata; Hyperoartia; Petromyzontiformes; Petromyzontidae
Source: RefSeq, a predicted model, not a curated record
GCGGGUGGCGUCUGUGAUUGGCUACUGGGGACGGCAAAGGUGAGCGGGCGGCGCCCAGGUGGCUUGACUCAAGCGGUGUCUCGGCUGCGGUGUCUCACAAGGAGGCGUGGGUCUCGGGUGAGCUGUCUCGGGUGAGUUUGGUGUCUCGGGUGAGUUGCUCACCAGUUUCGGCCGACCAGGAGGAGCGGGUGAAGGUGCCGCCAUGAGGGUGAAGGUGCACGUGGAGUAUUGCGGGGGAUGAGGUAACGGCCACCAGAGCCGCUUCUGGGGGCUCGAGUCCCGGGUCCAAGCGGAGCUCCCGGGGGUGGAGAUCGUCGGCGUUACGGGGAGGAAAAACAGCUUCGAGGUGAAGGUGAACGGCAAGCUGGUCUACUCCAAGCUGGAGCUGGGAGGGCUCCCCGAGCUGGACGACGUGAUAGCCGUGAUCCGCUGCGCCGUGCAGGGAGAAGACGUGCAGAAGAUCAGCCGCACCCAGCGCCAGUGCAGCAUCGUGUAGCGGCGUGCAGGCGGCGAGGCUCAACCCUCCGCCACCAUCAUCAUCACCACCAUCACCACGACCCUCACCAUCAUCACCAUCACCUGCUCGGUGACGGCUCAGCGCAAAGGGGCACGGCCCACAAGCUGGGCGCUGAUGGACGCAGCGUGGAUGGACGGGUGACGUGGUGGUGGUGGUGGUGGAGUUGGAGUCGAUGGUGUAGGAGGAGGUGUGGUGGUGGUGGUUAACAUAGUGGUGAUGGUGGUCGUGGUGGUGGUGAAGGUGGUGGAAAUGUUUGAAGAGGUGGUUGUUGGUUGUGGAAUUGGGAGUCGAUAAUGAUGUUGGUGGUGAUGACGGUGGUGGUUGAAGUUGUGCGGCAGGAGGAGAAAGCGAUGGUGGUCAAGGUGGUGGUGGUGAUGGAAGUUGGUGGUGGAGGAUUUCUGUGCGUGCGGGCGGUGAACGACACCAUCAUUAUCCGCGACGAGUCCACUGAUGGAUCCCGCGAUGCGGCGAUCCAUCAGAGGCCCCCGACACUCGGCUGGGCUCGCCGGCUCCAUCUCCGCGGUGGCGACCGUCCCUACGGGAGGGUGGCGGUGCCAUCCCCUUCGCGAGAAGUUUGACACGAGCGACGUCCAUUCGUGACGGAAGUUGUCCCACUAACUUGGCAUGGUGUUCAAUAAAUGCGGAGAAAAAACUGAUGAAAAAAUACAA